This 1173-nucleotide long non-coding RNA is filed under the name Taeniopygia guttata (zebra finch). Its description in RNAcentral is "lncRNA (ENSTGUG00000024336.1)". The record is from RNAcentral. Lineage: Eukaryota; Metazoa; Chordata; Aves; Passeriformes; Estrildidae.
GAAGGCUUGCAGAGUCUGAUGUCUUGUAAUUCCCUGUGUUGCCAAGCAAAGCCUGGAGUUCCCACCCGCUGGGGCAGGGUCAAGUGCCAGUUGUUUCCUGCCCUGCUCUGGCAUAUUAGCACAAUAUGCACUACUGCAAGCAAGUGGCAAAGCAGGACACCAUGGAGCUCUUCAGUAAAGGAAGUAAAGAAAGUCAAAAGAAGGUGUGACUGCCAGCAGGAGGAUGCCAGUCAAGGCCAAGAGCAGCUCAGUUUGACUAGGAUGAGGAAAAGCAAGCCCUGUCACAAGAAUGGUACUGAUUGAUAAGACAAAACCAAAUCAAAGCAAGUUUUACCUCUUUCAUUAUCCUCCUAGACUUCAACAUUACCAUUUUUAUCAUAAUCCUUCCCUCUCUUCCUUCUGCUUCUUGCUGAGAUGAUGAAAGGGAGAUGUUUGGAAGUAGGAGGAGCUGAAGCAGCAGAAAGGUGUAUAAAGGGCAUGAAGAAUGGUCUAUUAGACUUCACACUAUGUGAAGGAAAGUAAUACAUGAGCCUCUCCAAGAGGCAAAAUUUACUUACAGCCCAUAAGUAGAAAUUUUUCAGUAUAUAAUGUAUUUUGCAUAACUGCAUCAUAAUCUCUGUAUAGAGAUAUAUUAGAGAAAAAAAAAAAAAAAAAAAAAAAAAAAAAAAAAAAAAGUAAGCAGUGCUUUUUCCAAACACUGGAAUGUUAUUUGGUGUUUUCUUCUGCACCAAUGAGAGGCGUUUCUUUUUUCCUCUACAGUUUUACUUUCUGUCACUGAACCACAUCCUCUCUUGUUUUCUGUGAAAUUUUGACAGAUUAAGUUCUCUAAGAUGGGUUUCUUUGUUUCUGGAAUGGAUUGUGCCUAUAACUCUCAUGAUCUCAAUUCAGGAGUAGGAUUUGUUUAUGUCUUAUUUCAUUGAUACUCUUUUUAAGACUGAGCAAUGAUAGUGGAAUGGAAAAUAUUAGAAUUAGUUUUUUUCCAGCACCAGCAAAGCUGCAGCGAGUCCCACUACAUCUCCUUGAAGGCAGGAUAAAGAUUAAACCCAAACCACACCAAAAUGACCCAGCACCAUCCUCAGUGCAGCAGUACCCACACAGAGAGGUCUGUCCUACUUACAUUGCAGCUCAGACCAGAGUGAUCCCAACCCCAUCCUUGGCCACUGCCCCAGGACC